CACCACUCAAGCCUCGCUUGGUAUUGGGCACCGCGGUCCGCCGCGCGCCUCAAAUCGACCGGCUGGGUCGAUCGCACCCUCAGCGUUGUGGAAACUAUUCGCUAAAGGGACUGUCGGUCGGUCACGCCGUGAAACAAACCAAUUUUCAAU
Molecule: unclassified non-coding RNA, 150 nt
Filed under: uncultured Toxicocladosporium
Lineage: Eukaryota; Fungi; Ascomycota; Dothideomycetes; Capnodiales
Description: sequence contains ITS2
Source: RNAcentral